GAACUGGACUCUUGGCUGAACCUGGUGGCCACCUCUGGACCUGUCCUGUUCACCUGGCUCAGGAUGUUCUGGAUCCACGUGAACAUGGAUCUGUGCCCUGCCCACAGACAGCCCUGCCUUUGUCCAGCCCACCCCCGAGGGGACAUGGGCACUGUGGGGGCUUGGAUGCAGCCUCACCAACAGUGCAGUCCAAAGGUCCAGUCCAGGAGA
Molecule: non-coding RNA, 210 nt
Organism: Lonchura striata (white-rumped munia)
Lineage: Eukaryota; Metazoa; Chordata; Aves; Passeriformes; Estrildidae
Source: RefSeq, a predicted model, not a curated record